AACAUUUGAUGCCUGCAGGCUUUGGGAACUGGCAGUGAUUCACAGACAGCAAGCAGGAUGCUGGACAUUGGUCAAACUUUGGCCCUGCACACCUUCUCCCACUACCAGUUAUGCUGGUGAGAAGACUACAGCUGUCACCGGGAAGAAAGAGCCUGCCUAAAAAUCAGAGGGCAACGAAACUGAAAGGAAAGACACAGAAGUCUAAUGGCAUCAACUGAGUGCCUGGGCCCAGCUAUUCCUGAUGAUUUACUCCUGGAGUUUCCGACUUUAUACACCGACACAUUCUCUUUUUUCUUAAGUUAUUUAGACGCGGUUUUCAAGUCACUUGUGACUUCAAAACUCCUGACUUUUACAAGUUCCUGCUUGCCUCUAGUCCAGCCCCGACAUUGUACUCCUGUCUUCAACUGUGUGUACCCUAAGUCCUUGCCUUAAUUUUCUACCUAUUUCUCUUGUGCUUCCAAGUCUGUAGCCUUAUCUUUAGGGCCAGCCUAUCCCUUCCCUCUUUCUAGAAAUCAAAUAGGAGGCAACAGCACCUUUCAGAAAACAAGAAUGGAAUCUCAAAGUCCCAACCUCUUUAUACUUUUCCCAUGAUCAGUCUGCAACAUUAAGACAAGGGAAAGUUUGAGCAAGGCAAAUGGCAUGAUCUGGACGUGGCAGGAAAAAAAUGGGACAGACUCCGUUCCAGUGCUUUGAAAAUCUGUUGGUUGUAAGAUCUGGAGAAGGAACUCAAGUUCCAAUAAAUGUCACUGAACAAAUUGUA
This 760-nucleotide long non-coding RNA is filed under the name Homo sapiens (human). Its description in RNAcentral is "HSALNT0407299". The record is from RNAcentral. Lineage: Eukaryota; Metazoa; Chordata; Mammalia; Primates; Hominidae.